This is a non-coding RNA of Carassius carassius (crucian carp), 847 nucleotides long. The record is from the annotation of a RefSeq genome assembly. Lineage: Eukaryota; Metazoa; Chordata; Actinopteri; Cypriniformes; Cyprinidae.
CACUUCAUGACUGAGAGCAGAACAGAACACAAUCUUCAUCAUCACACAAGACACAACAACAACAAUGAACAACAUCAUCAUCCUCAUCUGGACUCUCACACUGUUUGCUCAAGAGUGUAGAGGACAGUACACUGUAACUCAGAGUCCAUCAUUAAUAAAAGCAGCUCAAGGACAAGACGUCAGAAUAAACUGUAAUACCAGCAGUAGUGUGUGUGGUAGUAAUUACUUACACUGGUACUUACAGAAACCUGGAGAAGCUCCUAAACUCCUCAUAUAUUAUACAUCAAACCGUUACACUGGAACUCCAUCUAGAUUCAGUGGCAGUGGAUCUGACAGUGAUUUCACUCUGACCAUCAGAGGAGUCCAGACUGAAGAUACAGGAGAUUAUUACUGUCAGAGUGUACACUGUUCUAGUGGCUGGGUGUUCACACAGUGAUAAAGAGUCAUACAAAAACCUCCGUCAGUCAGAGUCACAGUGACUGCACUGAUACAGCUGAGAGACACUGCAGCUGCUGAUGAGAGGAUCACAAACAACACAAUGACUUCAAGUAACACACUGUACACUGCUGACCUCUUCCUAACCCUUGAUCCUAACUCUAUCUGUAUCACACCUCAAUAACUGAAAAAGUGUUGUGCAUUAGCACAAGCUUUUAAUCAUUGUGAAACAUCUGUUCAAAUCGAUUUUAGAUUUUCACUAUCUGCAUGAUCAUAUGAAUUAAAAGUUUAGUGUAACACCUGGCUGUCACUAUUAAAUCAUAAGUUUGAAAAGAACUAAACAAUUGUUGUCAAUAUGAAUAUGGGCCUUAGAAGACUAGGAAGUUUAAGGUUCCUAGGGCAGAGGCAAACA